CUGCUGCCUUCCGUAGGAGUCUGGUCCGUGUCUCAGUACCAGUGUGGGGGACCUUCCUCUCAGAACCCCUACGCAUCGUCGCCACGGUGGGCCGUUACCCCGCCGUCUAGCUAAUGCGCCGCAUGCCCAUCCUCUUCCGAUGAAUCUUUCCUCGAUCUCGGAUGCCCGAAACCGAUAUACGCGGGAUUAGCCUCCCUUUCGGAAGGUUGUCCCCCUGAAGAGGGCAGGUUGCAUACGUGUUACUCACCCGUGCGCCGGUCGUCCGG
Molecule: ribosomal RNA, 266 nt
Filed under: uncultured bacterium
Lineage: Bacteria
Description: partial 16S ribosomal RNA
Source: RNAcentral